AGAAUGUAAAGCAGCCAGCCUCUUGGGUCAUGUAGUGACUCUCAAUAGGUGAUGGGGGGUGGGGAAGACAGCUUCGGAAGCCCACCUGGCAAAAAAUCCACACUGGGGGCGAGAGAUAAACCGGCACAUUCCCCAGACUGACCCACUAGGCUUCUUUCAUAACUUACUGGCAAUGAGCUGAGGAAGCUGUGAGUCUGGGAGUUAUUGAUUUUCUCUCAUCAUCAAAAUUCCUGCUUUUGGUGAGGGAACCAAUGCCAAGUAAGCACAGAACCUGUCUUCUCUCUGGACCAGAGCAGCUCAUGCCCCUUCAGAAAAACAGGCCUGGUGCAGUGGCAGAGUGAGAGCUCAGCGGCAGUGGGCAGAGAACUUCAGCAGAGUGACAUUUUGGUCAUGAAGCCCAAACGCACUGGCUCUCAACUGCAUCUCUUCUCUGGGGCCUUGGGGUCGGGGCGACUCCUCGUGCUACAGCAGCUGCAGGAAGCGCUGAGUGACAUCACCUCCCCCUAAGCCAAGAAGCCUCCACAAGGUCAGGCCUGGAGGAGCUGUCUUUAGGCAGAGAACACACAAACAAUCUACCUCUUUCCGCCCAGGGGAAUGAGCUCACAGCUCCGGGGAGCACAGCUCUACACGUGUGCCAGGUGGUGACAGGGUUAGUGUGCUAGCACUUCUGACACCCUGCAGGUGCUUCAUUCAUGGGACACCACCCAGUCUGUACCAGAUGGUGGGGUGGGAGAUGGACACCCAGCUCCAGACCUUCCCUCGCUUUAAGUUAUAAGGCCUUUGGGAGACAGACUCGCCCAUUUUCUUGGACUGGGUUGUAUGGAUGUUUGCCCAAUCAGAAUGGGAUAGAUAACUGGAGUAGGGUGGGGAUGGAGAAGAGGUUCUCGAGAGAUUACUCUACAAAUAAAAAUUCCUGGCAAUUGCCUCUCACUUCUAUCACCAACUGUUAUUCUCUGGGUCAUGGAAAUUCCCGUAUUGCUGGCCAUAUGUGGGGAUACAGUGGAAGAGUUCAAGGAAAGCUGAUUGGCUCACCGAUUGGUGAGCAGAGCUAUAUAGAAUGGAAAAGAAGCCCCCACAAUGAGUUGGACAACCUGACCCUAACCUGGGCUCCCCUAUUCUCUACCCUGCUUUUACCAAAGUCAAGAGGCAAAGAGUUCAAAUCCACCCAUAUUUUAGUUCCACGAUAAAUGAGCUCUUGUUGAUGUACAACUCCUAAUACAAUUGGCCUGACCGUACCCUGCUUUCUCAUCACAGAUGGGAAAUGGGCAUGAAUCAAACCAAUGUAUGUCUUUGAAUGCUUCAGAAGAAAAGGUUCCAGUUGGAUGCCCAUGUUUCAAUUCCCUGUAAUUUCCUUAUUUGAAUCUGUUGAGGGCUCAGAAUUUCUGUGUCAAGAGGUGUGCGUUUAUCUGCCUGACGAGAUGAGGUCUCAGGGACCCCCACUUUUUAGAACAACCCAUGAAGUGGCUGGGGCAAGUAGUACUAUCCACAUUUGACAGAUGAGGAAACACAGACUGAGUGAGAUUGUGGCUUGCUAGUUACACAGCUAACAAGGGACGUCUCCUUCCAAGAACCCAUGUCUUCAGACAGCAAGUCUAGCACUCCUUGAACCACAUAGCCACCUCCACAUGUUGCCAUUUGGCUCAUUAGACAAAAACACUACUUAUGGCCUGGAUCUGCCCUGAGUCUCAAGGAGAAUUCCCACAGCAACUCUAAGUUAUUUUCACAAGGCGAGCAGAAGUUCCUGCUAAUAAUUCCUGGCUCUCUCUUAAUAUUGUCUUCCCUCCUAAUUAAAAAGGAAAUAUGUUAAGCCAAACAUGGUAGCCUUGUGACUCUUACCUCCCAAUCAGAGUCAAGAUUUAUGUUAAUUCCCAACCAAGCUGUCAGUUAACCAAGCUUUGAGAAGAAGGGACACAGAUGAGGCCAAAUUAUGGUGAUAUGAUUCGACAAACUCAGAGGAACCACCGUCCGGGGAGAGCCUCCAACGUCCCAGAGGCAAGGGGAAGUUUUUAACACAUAUCUAAACCUACCACCUGCCAGGCACUCCCCAGACAUCAGUAUGCAUUUUGUCUUCUGUACACAUUCUAGCUGCAGCCCUUAAUAAGGGUGGGGAAUUUCAGCUCGAACAUACAGAGCAACCUUUCUUUUAGGGGUCUUAGAAAGAGUAUGUCUCCAUGGGGAGAGGGAGGGGUUGGAAACAAUGACCUGUAAGGAUAAUUUCCACUCUAAAAGUCUAAAAACAAACUAUCCCCAAUCCAUUAAACAACAAGUGGGUUGCCACUAAAAAUCAUUUUGCAAAGAGUGGCAAAGGUGACAGGGACUCUGGCUACUCCCCAAAACUCCAUUGAUGAGGUCUUAGCAUCAAACGGAUUAGAUUUAACAAGUGCCCCUGUCCCAGGCAUGGCAACUAGGAUAGAAACCAUCCCCUGUUUGACCCAAAUGAGAAGCUAAGAGGCUGGUUACCGC
Molecule: long non-coding RNA, 2463 nt
Organism: Equus caballus (horse)
Lineage: Eukaryota; Metazoa; Chordata; Mammalia; Perissodactyla; Equidae
Source: Ensembl